This 250-nucleotide ribosomal RNA is filed under the name uncultured Cellulomonas sp. Its description in RNAcentral is "partial 16S ribosomal RNA". It matches the Rfam family "Bacterial small subunit ribosomal RNA", at positions 524 to 773 of the family's 1533-position model. Lineage: Bacteria; Bacillati; Actinomycetota; Actinomycetes; Micrococcales; Cellulomonadaceae. The record is from RNAcentral.
UACGUAGGGCGCAAGCGUUGUCCGGAAUUAUUGGGCGUAAAGAGCUCGUAGGCGGUUUGUCGCGUCUGCUGUGAAAACUUCAGGCUCAACCUGGGGCUUGCAGUGGGUACGGGCAGACUAGAGUGCGGUAGGGGUGACUGGAAUUCCUGGUGUAGCGGUGGAAUGCGCAGAUAUCAGGAGGAACACCGAUGGCGAAGGCAGGUCACUGGGCCGCAACUGACGCUGAGGAGCGAAAGCAUGGGGAGCGAAC